Molecule: ribosomal RNA, 492 nt
Filed under: uncultured bacterium
Lineage: Bacteria
Description: partial 16S ribosomal RNA
Rfam family: Bacterial small subunit ribosomal RNA
Source: RNAcentral
AGUGAACGCUGGCAGUAGGCCUAACACAUGCAAGUCGAACGGCAGCACAGUAAGAGCUUGCUCUUACGGGUGGCGAGUGGCGGACGGGUGAGGAAUACAUCGGAAUCUACUUUUUCGUGGGGGAUAACGUAGGGAAACUUACGCUAAUACCGCAUACGACCUACGGGUGAAAGCAGGGGAUCUUCGGACCUUGCGCGAUUGAAUGAGCCGAUGUCGGAUUAGCUAGUUGGCGGGGUAAAGGCCCACCAAGGCGACGAUCCGUAGCUGGUCUGAGAGGAUGAUCAGCCACACUGGAACUGAGACACGGUCCAGACUCCUACGGGAGGCAGCAGUGGGGAAUAUUGGACAAAGGGCGCAAGCCUGAUCCAGCCAUACCGCGUGGGUGAAGAAGGCCUUCGGGUUGUAAAGCCCUUUUGUUGGGAAAGAAAAGCAGCAGGUUAAUACCCCGCUGUUCUGACGGUACCCAAAGAAUAAGCACCGGCUAACUUCGUG